ACUCCUACGGGAGGCAGCAGUGGGGAAUAUUGCACAAUGGGCGCAAGCCUGAUGCAGCCAUGCCGCGUGUAUGAAGAAGGCCUUCGGGUUGUAAAGUACUUUCAGCGGGGAGGAAGGCGAUAAGGUUAAUAACCUUGUCGAUUGACGUUACCCGCAGAAGAAGCACCGGCUAACUCCGUGCCAGCAGCCGCGGUAAUACGGAGGGUGCAAGCGUUAAUCGGAAUUACUGGGCGUAAAGCGCACGCAGGCGGUCUGUCAAGUCGGAUGUGAAAUCCCCGGGCUCAACCUGGGAACUGCAUUCGAAACUGGCAGGCUAGAGUCUUGUAGAGGGGGGUAGAAUUCCAGGUGUAGCGGUGAAAUGCGUAGAGAUCUGGAGGAAUACCGGUGGCGAAGGCGGCCCCCUGGACAAAGACUGACGCUCAGGUGCGAAAGCGUGGGGAGCAAACAGGAUUAGAAACCCCUGUAGUCCCAUGAU
RNAcentral lists this ribosomal RNA (475 nucleotides) under uncultured organism. Its description in RNAcentral is "partial 16S ribosomal RNA". It matches the Rfam family "Bacterial small subunit ribosomal RNA", at positions 335 to 801 of the family's 1533-position model. The record is from RNAcentral.